Molecule: ribosomal RNA, 544 nt
Filed under: uncultured bacterium
Lineage: Bacteria
Description: partial 16S ribosomal RNA
Rfam family: Bacterial small subunit ribosomal RNA
Source: RNAcentral
UGGGGAAUUUUGGACAAUGGGCGAAAGCCUGAUCCAGCAAUGCCGCGUGUGUGAAGAAGGCCUUCGGGUUGUAAAGCACUUUUGUCCGGAAAGAAAUCCUUGGCUCUAAUACAGUCGGGGGAUGACGGUACCGGAAGAAUAAGCACCGGCUAACUACGUGCCAGCAGCCGCGGUAAUACGUAGGGUGCAAGCGUUAAUCGGAAUUACUGGGCGUAAAGCGUGCGCAGGCGGUUUGCUAAGACCGAUGUGAAAUCCCCGGGCUCAACCUGGGAACUGCAUUGGUGACUGGCAGGCUAGAGUAUGGCAGAGGGGGGUAGAAUUCCACGUGUAGCAGUGAAAUGCGUAGAGAUGUGGAGGAAUACCGAUGGCGAAGGCAGCCCCCUGGGCCAAUACUGACGCUCAUGCACGAAAGCGUGGGGAGCAAACAGGAUUAGAUACCCUGGUAGUCCACGCCCUAAACGAUGUCAACUAGUUGUUGGGGACUUCAUUUCCUUAGUAACGUAGCUAACGCGUGAAGUUGACCGCCUGGGGAGUACGGUCGCAA